This 650-nucleotide ribosomal RNA is filed under the name Streptomonospora sp. YIM 90578. RNAcentral describes it as "bacterial SSU rRNA". It matches the Rfam family "Bacterial small subunit ribosomal RNA", at positions 35 to 685 of the family's 1533-position model. The record is from RNAcentral. Lineage: Bacteria; Bacillati; Actinomycetota; Actinomycetes; Streptosporangiales; Nocardiopsidaceae.
GCUGGCGGCGUGCUUAACACAUGCAAGUCGAGCGGUAAGGCCCUUCGGGGUACACGAGCGGCGAACGGGUGAGUAACACGUGAGCAACCUGCCCCUGACUCCGGGAUAAGCCGGGGAAACCCGGUCUAAUACCGGAUAGGACGCUUCGUCGCAUGGCGGGGUGUGGAAAGGUUUCUUUCCGGUCAGGGAGGGGCUCGCGGCCUAUCAGCUUGUUGGUGGGGUGAAGGCCUACCAAGGCGAUUACGGGUAGCCGGCCUGAGAGGGCGACCGGCCACACUGGGACUGAGACACGGCCCAGACUCCUACGGGAGGCAGCAGUGGGGAAUAUUGCGCAAUGGGCGGAAGCCUGACGCAGCGACGCCGCGUGGGGGAUGACGGCCUUCGGGUUGUAAACCUCUUUUACCACCGACGCAGGCCCGUGCUUCUGUGCGGGUUGACGGUAGGUGGGGAAUAAGGACCGGCCAACUACGUGCCAGCAGCCGCGGUAAUACGUAGGGUCCGAGCGUUGUCCGGAAUUAUUGGGCGUAAAGAGCUCGUAGGUGGCGUGUCGCGUCUGCUGUGUAAGUCCGGGGCUUAACUCCGGUUUUGCAGUGGAUACGGGCAUGCUAGAGGUAGGCAGGGGAGACUGGAAUUCCUGGUGUAGCGGUGAA